Molecule: long non-coding RNA, 1722 nt
Filed under: Sus scrofa (pig)
Lineage: Eukaryota; Metazoa; Chordata; Mammalia; Artiodactyla; Suidae
Description: lncRNA (ENSSSCG00070019558.1)
Source: RNAcentral
AGGGGCUUGGGUCCCAGGCUGCCGUGGCUGUGGCUUGGGCCUGCAGCUGCAGCCAGCGUAAUCCAGUCAGGGAACUUCCACAUAACAUAGGCACGGCCCGAAAAAAGAGACACGGAAAAAAGAUACUUCAUCCAUGUACGCCUGAGUCAUUGACUCAUAAGACGGAAAUUAAUGAAACAUUCUAAAUCAAUUAUACUUUGAAAAAAAAAUUAAACAGAAAAAAAAUACUGUGCAAGUGAGCGACUUUAUUAUAAUGCAAAUGUAAGGUCAUAAGGAAAAAAAAUGCAGGGGGGGUAAAGAGCAAAGAACAGGAAAACUACUAAAGAGAUAAAAUGAAAAAAGCAAUUAAGGAUAAGAAAAUGUUAACAAAGUGUUCCAAUUAUGUUCAGAGACAAGAACACAAAAACAGAAAAAACAUCCAAUCACUUUCCAGACAGAGAAAGAAACAAAAGGCCUGUAUCUGGGUCACGAGUAGCUCGCUGCAAAAGCUGCAUGUAGGUGAGGUUCUCGUGCGUGUUGGGGUCGAAGAAGCCCUUGGUGUCGUCGCUGGGGUCCUCCAGCACGCGGCUCAUCUCCUCGUCGAAGUAGCCGCGCUGGUAGGCCACGUCCACGGGCACGCGGUGGCUGCGCACGGGGUCGAUGACGCCGCCCGUGGCGAUCUGGGCCUCCAGCAGGCGGAUGCCGUGCUCGCGGACGAUGAGGUCCUUCUUCAUGGCCUGGAAGAGGGAGAUCUGCUCCCCGGUGUAGGGGUCCGUGUAGCCGGUGACGGCGCGCUCGGCCGACAGCAGCUUCUCCCGCAGCUCGCCGCCCACCACGCCCGCGGCCACCGCCUCCUCCACGGACAGCUUCUGGUUGCGCACGGGGUCGAUGACGCCGCCCGUGGCGAUCUGGGCCUCCAGCAGGCGGAUGCCGUGCUCGCGGACGAUGAGGUCCUUCUUCAUGGCCUGGAAGAGGGAGAUCUGCUCCCCGGUGUAGGGGUCCGUGUAGCCGGUGACGGCGCGCUCGGCCGACAGCAGCUUCUGGUAGGUUUCUCUGCCAAACAUCCCCGCCUCAAACGCCUCCUGCACAGUCAGCUUCCGGUUCUCCACGGGGUCGAUGAGGAAGCCGGUGGCCGCCUGCGCCUCCAGCAGCACCAGGGCCGUGCCGGGCCGCAGGACGCCCUUCCACAUGGCCUGGUAGAUGCUCAUCUUCUCCUGGCGCCCGGGCUCGUCCUUGGCCGGCACCAGCACGCCCGCGAUGCAGCUGGUGCCCUCCAGGUAGCGCCGGACCGGUUCUUGCUGUUGGACUUCGUCCACGGAGGCCCGCCCCCCUUCCAGGUCCGCCAGCAUCUCCCUGCUGAUGACGGCUGCGUGGAAGAGGUCUGCGGCUGUUACCUGUGUCCUGAUCCCUCUGAACCACAGCUGCUGUUUCUUCUUCUCAUUCUCUUCAAUGAUUUGUAGAAUAACCUUUACGACCUUUUCUAAUUCGUGUUUUGUAUCUCUUUUGUAUUUUGCUACUAACUCAAGCUUCUUCUCUUCGGUCACAUAUUCCGAGUUUAGCAAGUCCCAGACCGUUGGCCUCUGGCCCUUGAAUCUUCCCACUGUGACCUCCACUUGCUCGGCAGCGAGGGCCCUUCUCGUUGCCUCGUCUAUCACAGCAUCGUCUUCUUGGUUACUGAGUAAGGGGAGCAGGGCCCAGCCUGUGCUCUCCUGCCUGUGGCUCCUCUCUUGCAGCUCCUGAUAG